CAUGUGAGAUAUUUGGGGCAGGCCUGGGUAAGAAGCGACACUGGAGACACUUGAGAGUGUAUGGGGGGGGGUGGCGGUGAGGGGUGCUGAGCCAUUCGGGAAGGAUGCGAAAUGCAGGGUGAGGCCACACCCAUCACACCCACUGCACCCCGCCUGCACCACACCCACCCGGCCUCUCUCCUGCAGGAAACAAGUGGAGACCAAGGCAGACACCUCCGCCCCGGGAGCUACAUGCAUACAGGAUAAAGUUGACUAGUUGUUAAAAAAAAAAAAAAAAAAAAAGUCCUCUGAUCCAGAAAAUGCGGUCUUACUUUUGACCAAUCAGCUUGGAGAAGAUUAGAAAGAGCGAUAAUACCCAGUGUUGGCCAGGCUGCAGACAAAGGCUGCGUCUUACGCCUUCUGAGAGGAGUGCUGAUUCAUGACAUAAUCCUGGGGAGGCUGUUCUCGCCGUGCACAUGUUCCGGCAGCAUUCCAUAGGGCCAGUUUGUUCAAAAUAAACGUUGGGUCCUACAGCUCCAGCAGGAUGAAGCAGCUGGUAUCAGGGCUCCCCCAAUGCUGCAAUCACUGUAAAGGGGCCCAAAGCGUCCGAAGUAGGUAUUUGGGGGGCGGGGGACGAGGCAGCGCCGGAGCAGCACCAUGCCCUCGAGGAACCAGGGAGGUGUGAAGCCUGCAGACCACGGAACAGCAUCUUUAAAGCACCGAGAGGAAGACCCGCUGCCCUAAACGUCUGUACCGGUAAGAACAUCCGACAGAAAUCAGGGCUGAUGAAACCUGGGGAAAUUCUCACUACGAGAAAUACUAUAGGACAGUCCUUAAGACGAAGGACGAUGAUCCCUGAUGGAAACACAGAAGUUGCAGAUGAAAUGAGCUACGCCUGAAAGAGCAAGUGUUAGACGUGACCACUGAACGCAUAGAAAUAAUGUCUUGUGAGCUUAUAACAUGUAGAAGUAAACUAUGUAAGUGAAAAGUGAUGGGAGCGGGGACAUUCCAUUAAGCUGUUGUGUGUUCUUGCAGCCUUUGAGGUGCAGUGAAGCUCUCAUUUAAUGCUGCGAAAAUUAAGGAUGCCUUGUGUGACUCCCAGAGAGCCAUUCCAAAGACACCCCGAAAUAGAACCCAAACAGCUGACAGAGGAGAACAGAGGCAACAUUUAAAUACCUGAUAAUACCAGACAGGCAGCAAGAGUGGAGUAGAGAUUAGAUCAAACGGGAAACAGAUAGCAAGAGGGCUAAAGCCAGCUGGGUCAGAAAUCAUCACUUGUGAAGAGCUGAGACCAGAGAUGGUUGGACGCGUGGGUAGAUGAGUAACAUAUAAUGAAGUCUUUCGACUUACGUACCCAGCACUGGGGGGGUGUAUUCAUGGAUGGGCGUCCACACAGCAGAAGUCCAAGCAGCCCUGAGUGGGCACAGGACGGUCCAGCGGGGCCGCGGGCAGCGAGGGGGCAGGUGCCGCAGGUGAUGUUGGCAGGAGGUGAGCCCUGGGGGUCACUCAGCUGGAAGGGCGCUCACGCUGGAUCCACACGGGACCCGCUAUAAACUCACUGGAGCCUGUCUGGCAGCCCCAACAUGUCACGAGUGGCGGGGUUAGAAUCGGGGCUGCGGGCCCAGAGGCAGCCUUCCUGCUCCCCUUUCUCUGCCCCCCAUCGGGAGGCCCUCGGUUAUCUCUCUGGCUCUUUACGCCCGUCCAUCUGGGGCCCCCCGGCUCCGCUGCAUGAAUUUCCUCAUCAGAAGCCCAAAAGGUGAGCCUUGCGUCACGUCCAAACCAUGCAUCGUCACCCGGGGGGCAGCCGAGGGGCGACCCCAGAGUCUCCACUGCGACCCUGCCCUUACCAGGCUUCUAAGGUCGUGGUGACAGAGAGGGAAACUCAGGGACCUAGCUGAAAGGACUCGGCCGACGGCAGAUGAGCAGGCGGCCCAUUGGAAGGAGCUUCUGCCAGAGCUGGUUCUCAGCCCCUGGACCCCGGGCUUGCCCGGCUGGCGGCAAAGGCCAGGAAGUGGCAGAGACAGAAGACGUAAGGAAAGACGACCACUCUCCUCACGACGGACAUUAGCGUUCCUUCAGAUGAUGAGCUGGGAGUGAGACAGGAGUAUCUGAGGGUUCAGAGACCAACGCAGGCAGUUAGAGGCUAUGAACUUCGUCAUGCCGUCUGGGGCCAAAGCUGCAUCCCUCAGUCCAUGCGGGGCCGAUCUACCCCCAGGCUGGCCCCUGUCACCGUAGGGGGGCAGUGUGCGGUGUCCACAUGGCCAGGAAGGCCCCGGAGGUGAGGAGGGGCCCAGGGCCGGGGCGGGGGCCGCAGGAAGCAGCAGCAAGGAGGACGUGAGCUGGGUGUCCUCUCAUGGUCAGGAUAUUGAUGGAAAGGGAGCUGUGUCCCUCCUGGGCUGGGGAGGGGUCGGGAAGAAGGAGGGUGCAGGUGGCAUGCCCAAUCCUGCCAGGUUCUGUCCCCAGGUUGUGUGUGAGGUGAGGAGAAAUGGUACCAGAGGUGUCCCGGGCAGCCCCCGCCCAGCCCCCGCCCCGUCCACUCUGGAAGUCCAGGGCGCCCCCAGUCUCAGCGCCCGGGCUGUCACCACGGCCGCCCGCUGCCCUCAGGGUGGCCCACCCUUCAGGACUUAGCCCCUCUCUGCCACUUCGCUGACUGCAGCCUCCGCCGGCCGGGAGGUUCCCCGCGAGUUUGCAGGACCCGACGCCAGGGCGGGUGCGUUAGCUUCUCACGGGAUGGUGUGUUCAGGCGACACGCGUCCGUGGAGCGCAGCCAGGAGAGUGCCGGCGUUUUCCUCGGCGUGAGCGUUUCCUCCUCUGUCUUAGUGCUGAGGUCCAGACCUGUGCUGAUUACCACCUGUACCAGCAAUUUCUCUUUUUACUUUUUUAUAAACAAUAAAAGCAAAAUGAAACGUAAAA
Molecule: long non-coding RNA, 2892 nt
Organism: Orcinus orca (killer whale)
Lineage: Eukaryota; Metazoa; Chordata; Mammalia; Artiodactyla; Delphinidae
Exons: 2
Source: RefSeq, a predicted model, not a curated record